UGUACCUACGGGGGGCAGCAGUGGGGGAUAUUGCACAAUGGGGGGAACCCUGAUGCAGCGACGCCGCGUGGGUGAAGAAGCGCCUCGGCGCGUAAAGCCCUGUCAGCAGGGAAGAAAAUGACGGUACCUGAAGAAGAAGCCCCGGCUAACUACGUGCCAGCAGCCGCGGUAAUACGUAGGUGGCGAGCGUUGUCCGGAUUUACUGGGCGUAAAGGGAGCGUAGGCGGAUUUUUAAGUGAGAUGUGAAAUACUCGGGCUCAACUUGAGUGCUGCAUUUCAAACUGGAAGUCUAGAGUGCAGGAGAG
Molecule: ribosomal RNA, 305 nt
Filed under: uncultured bacterium
Lineage: Bacteria
Description: bacterial SSU rRNA
Rfam family: Bacterial small subunit ribosomal RNA
Source: RNAcentral